This is a long non-coding RNA of Hordeum vulgare subsp. vulgare (domesticated barley), 161 nucleotides long. RefSeq lists it as uncharacterized. Lineage: Eukaryota; Viridiplantae; Streptophyta; Magnoliopsida; Poales; Poaceae. The record is from RefSeq and is a predicted model, not a curated record. The transcript is spliced from 3 exons.
GCCCACCAAAACUUUCCACCGCCAUGGACGAGGGCGACAUCACAAUGUCGACGACCAAUGUAAGUGUGGGUCACCGUCUCCGCCCCACCUCUUUCGCAGGCAAUACCUCCACAAGAAAACGUACCAGAACGGGUCGCACACCACAACUCAGUACUUCAACG